This is a small nuclear RNA of Otolemur garnettii (small-eared galago), 107 nucleotides long. The record is from Ensembl. Lineage: Eukaryota; Metazoa; Chordata; Mammalia; Primates; Galagidae.
GUGCUUGCUUUGGCAGCACAUAUAGUAAAAUUGUAAUGAUCCAGAGAAUAUUAGCAUGGCCCCUGCACAAGGAUGACAUGCAAAUUCGUGAAGUGUUCCAUAUUUUU